RNAcentral lists this small RNA (149 nucleotides) under Pongo abelii (Sumatran orangutan). Its description in RNAcentral is "Metazoan signal recognition particle RNA (ENSPPYG00000040872.1)". Lineage: Eukaryota; Metazoa; Chordata; Mammalia; Primates; Hominidae. The record is from Rfam by way of RNAcentral.
GCCAGGCAUGGUGGCGCAUGCCUGUAAUCCCAGCUACCUGGGAGGCCGAGGCAGGAGAAUCACUUGAACCCAGGAGGCGGAGGUUGCAGUGAGCUGAGAUCAUGCCACUGCACUCCAGCCUGGGCAACAAGAGUGAAACUCUGUCUCAA